CAAGUUUGUGUGUUGUUCUUUUUAAGCUCAAUUUGAAUAAAAUGCUAAUGUAAAGAAAAGGCUCUUUUUCAGGAUGCCAUCACAAACCAGACGUGUUACAGAUGAUUUGUUUGUUUGUGAACUGCAAUUUCAUCCAUUCACACAGAGGCAUAAAUACAAUAUACACACUUGUGUCAGUUC
Long non-coding RNA from Sinocyclocheilus grahami, 180 nucleotides. RefSeq lists it as uncharacterized. Lineage: Eukaryota; Metazoa; Chordata; Actinopteri; Cypriniformes; Cyprinidae. The transcript has 3 exons. The record is from RefSeq and is a predicted model, not a curated record.